AAACAACUCUCACCCAAACCUCCACCUGUGCAAGUAUCACCUACCUUGGAUUAAGAAAAAUCUCCACCCGGCAGUCCGUCAACCUCACUCCCAGACUCCACAUCACUCUAUUCCUGGCAGAUCCUCAUCUCCAACCCUCGCUGCGUUUCCAGUCCCGGGUCCAACUCUAUAAUCCAUUCCUCUGAAAUAUAAACUUGUUAAACCUUU
Molecule: long non-coding RNA, 207 nt
Organism: Girardinichthys multiradiatus
Lineage: Eukaryota; Metazoa; Chordata; Actinopteri; Cyprinodontiformes; Goodeidae
Exons: 2
Source: RefSeq, a predicted model, not a curated record